ACGGCCAUACCAUGCUGAAUAUACCGGUUCUCGUUAGAUCACUGAAGUCAAGCAUCAUUGGGCGCGGUCAGUACUUGGGUGGGUGACCACCUGGGAACACCGCGUGCCGU
This 110-nucleotide ribosomal RNA is filed under the name Caerostris extrusa. Lineage: Eukaryota; Metazoa; Arthropoda; Arachnida; Araneae; Araneidae. The record is from RNAcentral.